ACUUAAAGAGGACGGCAGAUCAAGAGCAUCUCAUCCUCCGGCUGCUGAGUCAUCCUGCUCUGGCAGUUAUUUAAACAGAAGGCUCCAGGAGACAUACAAUCAACACUCCACUCAGACAAUGCCCAGACCUCCAGAAACCAUGUGUCAAGCUCGGAUUGCCUUAGACAGAAGCUCACCCAGCUGGAACUCUUAUGGGACCUUGGCACCAGAGACCACAAAUUCCUCUUUGAAGUUUUCUAACAGCAACAAUGGUAUUUCUGACUUGGCUUUCUUGUAUUUCUCUCACGUUAACAAAAUUGGUUCAGCAUCUACCAUGGGCUACAUGCUGAGCUACAGAGUUUCGCUCUGUCGCCCAGGCUGGAGUGCAGUGGCGCGCGAUCUCGGUUCACUGCAAGCUCCACCUCCCGGGUUCACGCCAUUCUCCUGCCUCAGCCUCCUGAGUAGCUGGGACUACAGGCGCCCGCCACCACACCCAGGAACAAAACCCAUCAGAAGAUGUCAGAAGAUAAGGAUUUUUGUCCUGAUGCUACACUUACCAGCUGUCCCUCAGUGUUCUACUUCUUAAAAAAAGAGAGAUGGAUAAACAGAGGCAACCCGAGGAUAAAGGCCUUGCUCAGUGUCACACAUUUCAGUCACUAAAUAAGACACAAUGGAUGCCAGUAUUCUCAUCCCCUCACAAAUAAAGAGCCUUCAAGCUCUUGCAGUCAACAAGAACUUUUGGAAUGAUUUCACUGCCUGAAAAGGCAGAUACAUAGGUGACACCCACAAAUAGGAAGAAAAUCAACCUGAACCUGAGUGUGUGGGCUCACUGACUCUAAGCAGUAGAGACAGAAGAAAAAGUUUUAGCAAAGAAGGGUUCUGAAAGAAAAUAAAUAUAGCUCGUUAUCAAGUGCUGUUUUUACACAGUAAAACAUGGGCAAAAUUACUCUUCUUUAAGUAGUAAUUCUUAUCUCUUGAUUAAGUCACCUACUCAUUCAUUUAAUAAAUACAUACUGAUUGUUUUC
This 1004-nucleotide long non-coding RNA is filed under the name Homo sapiens (human). RNAcentral describes it as "HSALNT0328131". The record is from RNAcentral. Lineage: Eukaryota; Metazoa; Chordata; Mammalia; Primates; Hominidae.